RNAcentral lists this ribosomal RNA (427 nucleotides) under uncultured bacterium. RNAcentral describes it as "bacterial SSU rRNA". It matches the Rfam family "Bacterial small subunit ribosomal RNA", at positions 355 to 774 of the family's 1533-position model. The record is from RNAcentral.
UGGGGAAUUUUGGACAAUGGGCGCAAGCCUGAUCCAGCAAUGCCGCGUGCAGGAUGAAGGCCUUCGGGUUGUAAACUGCUCUUGUACGGAACGAAAAAGCUCUCUCUAAUACAGGGGGUGAAUGACGGUACCGUAAGAAUAAGCACCGGCUAACUACGUGCCAGCAGCCGCGGUAAUACGUAGGGUGCAAGCGUUAAUCGGAAUUACCGGGCGUAAAGCGUGCGCAGGCGGUUUUGUAAGACAGAGGUGAAAUCCCCGGGCUCAACCUGGGAACUGCCUUUGUGACUGCAAAGCUGGAGUGCGGCAGAGGGGGAUGGGAUUCCGCGUGUAGCAGUGAAAUGCGUAGAUAUGCGGAGGAACACCGAUGGCGAAGGCAAUCCCCUGGGCCUGCACUGACGCUCAUGCACGAAAGCGUGGGGAGCAAACA